UAAGCGGAGGAAAAGAAACUAACAAGGAUUCCCCUAGUAACUGCGAGUGAAGCGGGAAAAGCUCAAAUUUAAAAUCUGGUGGUCUUUGGCCAUCCGAGUUGUAAUUUAGAGAAGCGUCUUCCGCGCUGGACCGUGCACAAGUCUCCUGGAAUGGAGCGUCAUAGAGGGUGAGAAUCCCGUCUUUGGCACGGACACGCCAGGGCUUUUGUGAUGCGCUCUCGAAGAGUCGAGUUGUUUGGGAAUGCAGCUCAAAAUGGGUGGUGAACUCCAUCUAAAGCUAAAUAUUGGCGAGAGACCGAUAGCGAACAAGUACCGUGAGGGAAAGAUGAAAAGCACUUUGGAAAGAGAGUGAAACAGUACGUGAAAUUGUUGAAAGGGAAACGCUUGAAGUCAGUCGCGUCGACCGAGACUCAGCCUCGCCUUGGCUUGGUGUAAUUCUCGGCUGACGGGUCAGCAUCAAUUUUGCCUCUUGGAUAAUGGCGAGGGAAAUGUGACACCUUUACGGUGUGUUAUAGUCUCUCGUCGCAUGCAAGGGUUGGGAUUGAGGAACUCAGCACGCGCCUUCGGGUGUCGGGGUUACGCCCACGAUACGUGCUUAGGAUGUUGGCGUAAUGGCUUUAAACGACC
This 627-nucleotide ribosomal RNA is filed under the name uncultured Russulaceae. RNAcentral's name for it is "LSU rRNA". It matches the Rfam family "Eukaryotic large subunit ribosomal RNA", at positions 47 to 649 of the family's 3401-position model. Lineage: Eukaryota; Fungi; Basidiomycota; Agaricomycetes; Russulales; Russulaceae. The record is from RNAcentral.